UAGUCGUAACAAGGUUUCCAUAGGUGAACCUGCGGAAGGAUCAUUAACAAAUGAAACGAAAACAACCACCUUGUGUGUACUCUAUUAAAAUAUUUUUUUCCAAGGAAAGAGGAGGAGAGAAGAAGGGGAAGGGUGAAGAAGAAGGGGGGAAACUAAGUUUUUCCUCCUCUCCCCCCGUUCCUCUUUUCUUUCUUUCUUUCUUUCUUUCUUUUCGAAAAUAUAAUCAACUCUUUUAAAACAUGUUGAUCCUGAACAAAAUUUUGAUAUAACAAAAUAAACAACUUUCAACAACGGAUCUCUUGGCUCUC
RNAcentral lists this unclassified non-coding RNA (308 nucleotides) under fungal sp. RNAcentral's name for it is "partial internal transcribed spacer region". The stretch from base 1 to 46 matches the Rfam family "Eukaryotic small subunit ribosomal RNA", at positions 1786 to 1831 of the family's 1831-position model. The record is from RNAcentral. Lineage: Eukaryota; Fungi.